RNAcentral lists this ribosomal RNA (505 nucleotides) under uncultured bacterium. RNAcentral describes it as "partial 16S ribosomal RNA". It matches the Rfam family "Bacterial small subunit ribosomal RNA", at positions 28 to 507 of the family's 1533-position model. The record is from RNAcentral.
GACGAACGCUGGCGGCGUGCCUAAUACAUGCAAGUCGAACGCACAGUUUAUACCGUAGCUUGCUACACCAUAGACUGUGAGUUGCGAACGGGUGAGUAACGCGUAGGUAACCUGCCUGGUAGCGGGGGAUAACUAUUGGAAACGAUAGCUAAUACCGCAUAAUAUUAAUUAUUGCAUGAUAAUUGAUUGAAAGAUGCAACUGCAUCACUACCAGAUGGACCUGCGUUGUAUUAGCUAGUAGGUGAGGUAACGGCUCACCUAGGCGACGAUACAUAGCCGACCUGAGAGGGUGAUCGGCCACACUGGGACUGAGACACGGCCCAGACUCCUACGGGAGGCAGCAGUAGGGAAUCUUCGGCAAUGGACGAAAGUCUGACCGAGCAACGCCGCGUGAGUGAAGAAGGUUUUCGGAUCGUAAAGCUCUGUUGUAAGAGAAGAACGGGUGUGAGAGUGGAAAGUUCACACUGUGACGGUAGCUUACCAGAAAGGGACGGCUAACUACGUG